UUUGCAGUUGUCAAAGUAGUACUUAGUGUCUAACUUCUUUCCAUUCUUGGAAUACAUGAUCUUUGAUUUAUCAGAAGUGUUCUUAUCUUUAGCAAAAAAUACGGAUUCUAUUUUUUCAUUGUUAUUGUCUCUAAACUUGAAUCUAUGUUUUUCUUCUUGAAUAACUAACCCAAGAACCUUAUUCAUGUUGGGUAGUUUUUCC
RNAcentral lists this long non-coding RNA (202 nucleotides) under Zostera marina. RNAcentral's name for it is "long non-coding RNA (ZMAR_LNC000570)". The record is from RNAcentral. Lineage: Eukaryota; Viridiplantae; Streptophyta; Magnoliopsida; Alismatales; Zosteraceae.